Molecule: ribosomal RNA, 1234 nt
Filed under: metagenome
Description: bacterial LSU rRNA
Rfam family: Bacterial large subunit ribosomal RNA
Source: RNAcentral
UGAAUACGAGACGCUAAGGCGUCGAAGUAGUGUAUGUCAUACUUCCAAGAAAAGCUUGCACUGUCAUAGAUAAAAAACGCCUGUACCAUAACCGACACAGGUGGGCAGGUAGAGUAUACUAAGGGGCGCGAGAUAACUCUCUCUAAGGAACUCGGCAAAAUAACUCCGUAACUUCGGGAGAAGGAGUGCCUUAUUCGUAAGGUUGCAAUAACAAGAUCCAAGCAACUGUUUAUCAAAAACACAGGUCUCCGCUAAGUCGUAAGACGAUGUAUGGGGGCUGACGCCUGCCCAGUGCCAGAAGGUUAAAGAAGUUGGUUAGCAAUUGCGAAGCUGAUAACUGAAGCCCUAGUGAACGGCGGCCGUAACAAUAACGGUCCUAAGGUAGCGAAAUUCCCUGUCGGGUAAGUUCCGACCCGCACGAAAGGCGUAAUGAUUUGGAUACUGUCUCGGAGAGGGGCUCGGUGAAAUAGACUUGUCUGUGAAGAUGCGGACUACCUGCACCAGGACAGAAAGACCCUAUGAAGCUUUACUGUAACUUGAAAUUGAAAUUGGACUUUAUUCGCGCAGUAUAGGUGGGAGGCGUUGAUUAUAAUCUUGUGGGAUUAUUGGAGCCAUCAGUGAGAUACCACUCUUGUAAUGUUAGAUUUCUAACUUUGAAUCAUUAUCUGGUCAAAGAACAGUUUCAGGCGGGCAGUUUGACUGGGGCGGUCGCCUCCUAAACGGUAACGGAGGCGUACAAAGGUUUCCUCUGAACGGUUAGAAAUCGUAUCUAGAGUGUAAAGGCAUAAGGAAGCUUGACUGUGAGACCUACAAGUCGAGCAGGGACGAAAGUCGGUCUUAGUGAUCUGACGGUACUGAGUGGAAAGGCCGUCACUCAACGGAUAAAAGUUACUCUAGGAUAACAGGCUGAUCUCCCCCAAGAGUUCACAUCGACGGGGAGGUUUGGCACCUCGAUGUCGGCUCAUCGCAUCCUGGGGCGGUAGUACGUCCCAAGGGUUGGGCUGUUCGCCCAUGAAAGCGGUACGCGAGCUGGGUUCAGAACGUCGUGAGACAGUUCGGUCCAUAUCCGGUGUAGGCGUUAGAAUAUUGAGAGGAGCCUUCUUUAGUACGAGAGGACCGAGAAGGACAUACCUCUGGUGUACCAGUUAUCGUGCCAACGGUAAACGCUGGGUAGCUAUGUAUGGAGUGGAUAACCGCUGAAAGCAUCUAAGUGGGAAGCCCACCUCAAGAUAAG